This 555-nucleotide ribosomal RNA is filed under the name uncultured archaeon. RNAcentral's name for it is "bacterial SSU rRNA". It matches the Rfam family "Archaeal small subunit ribosomal RNA", at positions 325 to 879 of the family's 1478-position model. The record is from RNAcentral.
ACGGGGUGCAGCAGGCGCGAAACCUUUACACUGCACGCAAGUGCGAUAAGGGGACCCCGAGUGCGAGGGCAUACAGUCCUCGCUUUUCACCACCGUAAGGUGGUGGUGGAAUAAGAGCUGGGCAAGACCGGUGCCAGCCGCCGCGGUAAUACCGGCAGCUCGAGUGAUGGCCGAUUUUAUUGGGCCUAAAGCGUCCGUAGCCGGCCACACAAGUCCAUCGGGAAAUCCGCCAGCCUAACUGGCGGGCGUCCGGUGGAAACUGUGUGGCUCGGGACCGGAAGACCCAACAGGUACGUCUUGGGUAGGAGUGAAAUCCUGUAAUCCUGGACGGACCACCGAUAGCGAAAGCAUGUUGGGAAGACGGAUCCGACGGUGAGGGACGAAAGCCAGGGUCUCGAACCGGAUUAGAUACCCGGGUAGUCCUGGCCGUAAACGAUGUCUGCUAGGUGUGGCUCCCACUACGAGUGGGUGCUGUGCCGUAGGGAAGCCGCUAAGCAGACCGCCUGGGAAGUACGUCCGCAAGGAUGAAACUUAAAGGAAUUGGCGGGGGAGCAC